RNAcentral lists this ribosomal RNA (252 nucleotides) under uncultured bacterium. RNAcentral's name for it is "partial 16S ribosomal RNA". It matches the Rfam family "Bacterial small subunit ribosomal RNA", at positions 524 to 776 of the family's 1533-position model. The record is from RNAcentral.
UACGUAGGUCCCGAGCGUUGUCCGGAUUUAUUGGGCGUAAAGCGAGCGCAGGUGGUUUAUUAAGUCUGGUGUAAAAGGCAGUGGCUCAACCAUUGUAUGCAUUGGAAACAGGUAGACUUGAGUGCAGGAGAGGAGAGUAAAAUUCCAUGUGUAGCGGUGAAAUGCGUAGAUAUAUGGAGGAACACCGGUGGCGAAAGCGGCUCUCUGGCCUGUAACUGACACUGAGGCUCGAAAGCGUGGGGAGCAAACAGG